Cyanistes caeruleus (blue tit) is the source of this 150-nucleotide non-coding RNA. Lineage: Eukaryota; Metazoa; Chordata; Aves; Passeriformes; Paridae. The record is from RefSeq and is a predicted model, not a curated record.
UUGCUUGUCUUACAGAGAUGGGUGUUAUGCCUGAGAUAGCUCAAGCAGUGGAGGAGAUGGACUGGCUUCUCCCUACGGAUAUCCAAGCAGAAUCCAUCCCGUUGAUCUUGGGAGGUGGCGAUGUACUGAUGGCUGCUGAAACUGGGAGUG